AACGAACGCUGGCGGCAUGCCUAACACAUGCAAGUCGAACGAGACCUUCGGGUCUAGUGGCGCACGGGUGCGUAACGCGUGGGAACCUGCCCUUAGGUUCGGAAUAACUCCCCGAAAGGGGUGCUAAUACCGGAUAAUGUCUUCGGACCAAAGAUUUAUCGCCUUUGGAUGGGCCCGCGUUGGAUUAGCUAGUUGGUAGGGUAAAAGCCUACCAAGGCGACGAUCCAUAGCUGGUCUGAGAGGAUGAUCAGCCACACUGGGACUGAGACACGGCCCAGACCCCUACGGGAGGAAGCAGUGGGGAAUAUUGGACAAUGGGCGAAAGCCUGAUCCAGCAAUGCCGCGUGAGUGAUGAAGGCCUUAGGGUUGUAAAGCUCUUUUACCCGGGAUGAUAAUGACAGUACCGGGAGAAUAAGCUCCGGCUAACUCCGUG
Molecule: ribosomal RNA, 433 nt
Filed under: uncultured bacterium
Lineage: Bacteria
Description: partial 16S ribosomal RNA
Rfam family: Bacterial small subunit ribosomal RNA
Source: RNAcentral